UCAAAGAAGGGAUUUUAUGUUAACAUGUAACUUGAUCUGUUAAGAUGUUUUUGAUUGAAAUAGCUUUUGAUUUUAGUACAUGUGACCACUUAAUACUGCACAUUGAAAGAAUGACCUUUUGCAGUUCUUUAUAAUCCAUAAAAUGUUUAGAAAAUCUGCUGUGCAUCAUAAUUUGGAACAGUGCAUUUUGAGUUUUUUAUUUUUGAAAAAAAAUACUGUUCUCAUUGGGAGCUUUGAUCAGUAAAAUUUGAUUUAUACUGUAAUAGUUCAUGACUUGAAAAUUAUACUGACCAUCAUUUGCAUUGACCGUUUAAGAAAAUCUUAGAAAAUAUCACUUACAUAAUAAUUUGGAACACGGUGUAUGAAUAAAAUACUCCUUUAAACUUUACUGGAUAUAUUUAAAACUUAACUAUAAAAGCUAGAAGGUUGCUACUGUACCACAUAGUACCAGAUUUAACUGGGUUCAGAUUUCACCUUGUAAGCUGAAGAGUAGAGUGACAGAAACACUUUGACCUCUAUACUACUUUGACUAUCAAAAAUGGAAUCAUAGCCAAAAAAAAAAAAAAAAAGCACACAUUCAGGUGAGUAGAAUGACCUGGUCUCCAUAGUGAUGCUUGGCCUCUGAUAUUCUCUAAAGAAUAAAGUUGGCUGAAUACAAUACAACAACACAUUUGUUAUUAUACAUUUUUACUAUAACAUUUUUUCAAAACAAUUCCUCAGUCUACUUCCACUUCAGUCUGUCACAUAAUGCGAAUAAUUUUCAAAGGCAUUGUAUUCAUGAGUUCUGUUUCAACGUCAAUUGGAAUAAGUUUGAUAUUAUGCUGAUGCUCAAGAGAAACACUGGUGAGGAAGGACAGAUUCAACAGCUUAUCUUGCUCUGAUAAUCUCUCAUUGUUCAAAUGUCUUCAUUUACCCAUAAGAUUCAGUCUGCUUGAUUUCAUCCCAGCCUCAGAAGAACCUGAUGCUUUUUAUACCUUUUGAGCUGUUGAUCAUAACUUGUUGUAAAUGUACAGAAAUGUAAUUUUGUGUGAGGCAGACUGUCUUAUUUUGUACUGUGACAUUUCUGAAUCUCUGACUGUUGUAACCAUGAACAAACAUAGAAUGCAGGAUUUGUAAUAGCUGUUUUGAUGGAGUUGUUGAGGAAUGUAAAUCCAAGGUUUAACAGAGUCUUUGUUUUAUCUGUUUUUGAAUUUAUUCUGGUGUGACUGUUCUUGACUGAGAAUUCAAGCCUGUGGAGAUGACAAACCAGCUGAAACAUUCCAUUUGGAAUGAUGUCCUGUUGUGUCCUUGUUAACACACUUCUAACGUAUUUUUGGGAGAGUUCUAAUGUCGCCCUUCUGAGGUUUUUGCUAAAUUCAGAAGACCGCUGCUGGCUUUUUCUUCUUCUCGCCACCAUACCUGUAGCCCAGACAUAAGAACUUGGCAGAAUUUCUCCCCACUUUUUGACAGAUCCCUCUGAUGGCUUCUGCUGUGAGAUACAUCUAACAAAAAGCCUGCUAGAACAGAUUCAGUUUAUCUAUCUAGCUUACAUAUUUCACUAUUAAAGACAAAAAAUUUUGAUCAUGUCAAUUAGGUACUAAAUCAAGUUCACCUUGUUAAUUUGAAUUUAGACGUACAAUACACACCUUUGCCUGUUUAGUAUCUUAAUCAGUAAAAUUAGGCUUAAUUUUGACCACUAGAUGACAGCAAAGUGUUCCCAACAUGAUAUUGGAUAAGCGUGGAAUUUACACCAACAGGCUUUAGUGGGAUAUAUACUUGUGGUUAAAAGAUGGGAAUCGUUUUGAAAUGAUUUCUUUUGGUCAUCUUCUUUACUCACACAAACAUUCCAUCGUAACAGGGAUGGGUGGACUUUUAAAAUCGCAAAUUUUUGUGUCCUUCAAUGUCCACAUUCCAAGGUCUAACUGUGUAACGCCACCUGGAACUCAGCAGCUCUCACUGACCACCAUAGCCGCAACAAUUAAUGACAGAAUAGCAAGAUUGAAGCAAUAUGGCUUCUUAGAAUUGGUCUGCAAGGAAAAGCCUAAAACAAAAAAGAAUAAAAUGUUUGAACAAACUUUAAACAUCCUGGAACAUUAGGUAUAUUGUUAAAACACAGCCUAUUAGCACAAACACAUACCCACUGGUCGGCAUGGUAGUACUGGACUGAUUAACAGGGCUAAUCUGACAGACACAAGAGCUUAGCAUAGUCUAAUUAUCAUUUACUAUGAAAUCUUUUAGUUUAAAAAAAUAACUGCGCUGAAACAGGAGCGUGUAUUUAGUUUUUUUAUAUUGUUCGUCUGGAUUACUAACUAUCCUCCCAUCCUGCUGCUGCAUUAACCUGGUUAAGGCUGCAGAUUGGCUGGAGGCUGUUCCACCUUGCGUCACAUGUAAUGCUAGGUGGGACAAAGUACAGGCUGAAAAAACUGCCAUAGAAUCACACCAAACAUCGAUACACACAUGGACUGGAAGACUGCAUUGGGGAGAAGGUUUACAGACUUUAUAAGGUGUACUUGUUAGCUUAGGUGCUAAAAAGUCCACUAAAGUGUAUGGUGCAUGUCACACAUGAAACAUAAACUGAAACAAUCUCUCAGCUGCCUACUGCACUCCUGGUGUUGAUUAAAUGUGUAAUACAGUGGUCAAAUGUGCCAUCUAUUGGUGUAUUUACUGAUCUGUAAGACUGAUCAGCUUUAAAAACAUGUAGCUUUUUUAGCAUUACCUUUGAUGUAUCUUUCAGUGCAGCAAAGGUCCCAAUUGUAAAACUCACGAUACACAUUACUGUCAUGAAACGUGGUGUAGAGUGGUGAGGAUGACGCAGUGGACCCAGGGUGUUUGAACAAAUGAUGAUGGUUUUAAUGAAGAAUUUACAAAAUACAAAGUCCAGGCAGCACAGGUGAGCAAUAAGGCAAAGAGCUCAGACACUGGCUGCAACUAGUAGACAAACUAGACUAAACAAGGGCAGAAUAGACAACUUAUGACUUUAGACUAGAACCAGAGACACAGGUGGGUUUAAAUACACUGAGAUGGUAAUCAGGGGAAACAAGGGACUUCUGGGGGCAAGCAAGAGGCAGCCAGGACGACACAGGAAGUAAACACACAGAAAACCAAAUCUUCACAAUUACUUUUAAAAUUGAUGCUGAUAAUGUUUGACCUUUGACACUGUUGGAGUCUGUAGAGUAAAAAGUAAAGUCAGUGAACAAAGAAAAAAUGUAAAGACGCUGAAACUGUAUUUGUCUUGCUGGGUAUCUGUUAUGUUCAGGUUUAAGAAUCUGUAAUAAGGCUCAAAGUGGUUCCCUUUGUACAUUUUGUAACUUAUAAAAAAUUAUUUUGCUCUUCA
This is a long non-coding RNA of Xiphophorus hellerii (green swordtail), 3313 nucleotides long. RefSeq lists it as uncharacterized. The transcript is spliced from 2 exons. NCBI's taxonomy places the organism in Eukaryota, Metazoa, Chordata, Actinopteri, Cyprinodontiformes, Poeciliidae. The record is from RefSeq and is a predicted model, not a curated record.